This 3310-nucleotide unclassified non-coding RNA is filed under the name Hevea brasiliensis (rubber tree). The record is from RNAcentral. Lineage: Eukaryota; Viridiplantae; Streptophyta; Magnoliopsida; Malpighiales; Euphorbiaceae.
GGCACGCUGUCCAACUGCUUAAUCCUCCUUCUGCUACUGAACUAGGUUAUUUAAUUUUGCUCUUUCUAAAUAAUAUAAGUUAAACGGUAACCUUUUUUUUCGUUAGGAACUAUACAAUAUGAAAGGCUUAACUGUCUAUAAGGACAUUCAUUUUCCCACAUAUCCUAUAAGGCUAUAUAUGAAACAUAAUUUAGUGAACAGCAUAUAUAUGAGUCUCAUUAAUAAUUUGGGUUCAACGAAUAAUUUAAUAUAAAUUCCCCUACACUGCUCCUUAACUUAUUUUAAAUAUUCCCCAGCAUUUGCUCCCACAACUCUACCUGUUAAUGAAUGCCUUUUUCUGCUAAAAAUGACAUCAAAAAAUAAUUAAAUAAUCAUCUGAAUUGAAGGCACUGUGUAUAUUCCUUAUUUUGUAGGAUUCUAAUUAAUUGUUCUGAUUGUCCCGGUACUUCUUCUCCCAUAACUCCACUUGUUUUAUUGAAAUCUCUCUUCUCCUAAAAAUGGCGUGAAGAGAUGGAGGAUCAUAGGGAGGAGGCAGCGUGCAUGGACUUGUCUCUGCAGGACUCUUCACCAUGGAUUCCAAUAUGAAGUCCUUCUCUAGUCCACCCAAUCGGCAAGCCAUGGAUUCUGAACACAGUUUUAUAGCUUUUCGAGGUAUAACUGGCUUGAACGUCAAGAGAUUUGCAUACUCUUUCAAGAGAUGAAACAUAUAGUCGUACACAUAAUCCAUCUUCAAUUCCUCCUGAAUGAAUUCACUGGCCGCCUUUCCAAUGGCCUGUGCCUGCCAAAUCCAUGCAGAAUGCAACUGAAUUGUAAUAAGUGAUUUGACUCAAACACUUUCUGCAGGGUUCAAGGUAAAAUUAGGUCAGAAUUUACCUUCUGCUUGUGGGUGUUACCCCACUCAACGGCAAACUUAAUGGACCUGCACUUGUCAUUAUCCUUUAUAGGCCAGUAUUGUUCAAUUGGCCUGAGACUUCUCGUGAAGAAGUCAUAGUAAUGUGGUUUUACAAGUAAAGUAACAGAAUCACAGGCAAGAAUGUAUUUUUCGCUGACUGACCAUGCAGUCCCUUCGAUAUAGAUCUUAUAUCUGCGUCAUUGCAUUUAGAAGCAGCAACAAAAAGAUAGUGAAGUAAACAAGAAAAGGCGGUAAUUAAUUAGAAAGCACAUAAACAGAUCAAGUCAAAAACUGAAAGGAUGUAGUUCACACACGUACUGGCACAAAAUAAGAAUAAGUGAACAAUUUUGAAUUUUUUCCUACCUGUGAAUACAUUGGCUUGCUAAGUUUGAUUGCUUGUAACCUUGCCGUGAUUCUCGAAUCCAGUCCUGAGCAUACAAACGAGCAUUCCAGUCUUGUUGCUCAGAGACAUUACAUUUCAUAAGGUCCUGCCUGGUUUCAGCAACUGCUGGAUUUCCUUUCCAGUAAGCAUAAGGUUCCCUGUCCAUCCACCUGGUCUUCUUGUUGCCUUCUUUCAAGUCAUUCAGCAGAUUCUCCCAUGGCUUUAUAUUGACCUCAGGCCAUCCCCAAAAGGACCAAUCUGGGAAAACGAUAUCCAGUGUGUCGUCAUCUCCACAGUAACCAAACAAAGGUGGUGGGGCCGUUGCGUUGGGCCUCCAACUAUACUCACUUGAAUUCACAACCGGCAAAUCAAAGCAAUCAAACAUGAGCUCCAAAUCAGGCACUUUUCCUGGGUAUCUCCGUAACAACUGUAGGAUUCCCCACAGCGUAAAAACAUCUCUCGUCUGAAACGCCCUCCGGUACUUCUCCAAAUAGGCUUCGCCAUUCACAAUCGCCAACCUAAAAUUCGCUGUCCUUUUAGCUCUCUCAACCAUUUCCCUCGUUAUCCCCGUGCGAGCCCAUGGACGCAGGUCUUCGUAUAUCCAACGGAAGUAUUCUGGACAAGCAGAAACAGAUGGACGGCGUGGAUUUUCUGAAAUGGUAGUGGAGUAAUACGCCGGACAUUUUCUUGUGAGGUUGAAAGCAGCGCAGUCGAGUGGAAUCUCGAUUUUGUUUAUGAGCUUUUCGGUGGCUAAAAACGGCUUCUGAGCCAACCCGCUCUUAACAGUCUGCAAAAACACAGGCUGAAAGUUGAAAAUUAAAGAAAUAGUCAAUAACGGCCAAUCAGCUGUGCCCAGGUCCAAAAUGGAAUGAAAUUCUACAGACAUCAUGGGUGCCUCAUGGGUUGGUGGGAGGGACCCAUGCACAUGAAUGAUUACAAUAAAUCACGACACUAGUCCCACAGUAGACCAACUUUUCUCAGGAAAAAAAAAAAGAAAGAUGAACCGACACUCACGACGUAUGCGAGGCCUUGGAAUCAUCUCUUAGCAUAAUAUGUACGCGUGUCCGGCAUAAGAAAAUGUUGCUAAAGAAAAAAAAAAAUAGAGCUAACGACGUCGUUUGUAAAAUUGUAGAGCAAUCCCGCGCAUGGACGUCAUAUUAGUUAUUACUCUCCUUUUUGCCUUGCAUUUCUCGAGAAAAGGAUGAGGAAUGUCAUUAGUUAUUUUUGUCGGCAAGUGGCUCUUCCCUUUUGUUUUUAUGAGAGCAAGCAAGAUUGAUCACAAUAGGGCGUUUACUUACAGUGUUGUCAAAGUGGCGCGUGAAGUCGAACGCGCAUACAAGCAGGAAGAGGAGGAACACGAAGACGGAGAAUCUUGCAGAUAACUUGACAGAAGGCCAGAUCGUCUCUUGCAAAUGAUAAUAAAUCCCCGAUCCAUUUUGCAAGUAACUCUGCUCCCUCUGCUGCUCCCUGAUUUCUCUCAUUUUCUGUCUCUUCUCUCUCUCUGUAAAUUCUCUUAACUAAUUUCUGACAAAGCACUUGUCAGUGAGAUAAUUGGGUGAUUUCCUCAGAUAUGUGUGUACUUCAGUUUUGGCUGAUAUGGAGAUGUUUAAGGCAUAACUAGGAUCAUUUCUUACGAGAGUUUCUGAAUCGGCUAGUUUGUAAAAAAUAGAAACCACGAACUUUAAUUAAGCAGAUGGAUGGAGAUCCAAAAGACGCAAAUAAUAAGAGAGAAACACAGUUGUAGUUUGCAUUUGCUGUUGAAGUAGGGUCACGCUUAGCUAAAAGGAUACCCAGGUAAAACAAAAUUGGCUAAAGAAGUAUGGAUGGUGCUUAGGGAGAGCAUGAGAUCCAAAUUAGAGUUUCAGUGUGAAAUUGGAGUUUCAGUAUGAGUGUGGUGGAGGAGUCUGCGACUGCUUUUUUACUUCCGUUUCUCAAGAGAGAAGCGAAAAAAUUUGAUUGUCAAAGGUGGAGAAUAAAGAUGGAGAAGGAGAACAAAAAGGAAAUUUCUCUGAGGAAACGAAACACUGGAAAGUAGA